GGCGGCAGGCCUAACACAUGCAAGUCGAGCGGAAACGAAGAGGUGCUUGCACCUCUGGCGUCGAGCGGCGGACGGGUGAGUAAUGCUUGGGAACAUGCCUUGAGGUGGGGGACAACCGUUGGAAACGACGGCUAAUACCGCAUAAUGUCUACGGACCAAAGGGGGCUUCGGCUCUCGCCUUUAGAUUGGCCCAAGUGGGAUUAGCUAGUUGGUGAGGUAAUGGCUCACCAAGGCGACGAUCCCUAGCUGGUUUGAGAGGAUGAUCAGCCACACUGGGACUGAGACACGGCCCAGACUCCUACGGGAGGCAGCAGUGGGGAAUAUUGCACAAUGGGCGCAAGCCUGAUGCAGCCAUGCCGCGUGUGUGAAGAAGGCCUUCGGGUUGUAAAGCACUUUCAGCAAGGAGGAAAGGGUGUAAGUUAAUACCUUACAUCUGUGACGUUACUUGCAGAAGAAGCACCGGCUAACUCCGUGCCAGCAGCCGCGGUAAUACGGAGGGUGCGAGCGUUAAUCGGAAUUACUGGGCGUAAAGCGUACGCAGGCGGUUUGUUAAGCGAGAUGUGAAAGCCCCGGGCUUAACCUGGGAACUGCAUUUCGAACUGGCAUGCUAGAGUGUGAUAGAGGGUGGUAGAAUUUCAGGUGUAGCGGUGAAAUGCGUAGAGAUCUGAAGGAAUACCGAUGGCGAGGCCGCCCCCCUGGGUCAACACUGACGCUCAUGUACGAAAGCUUGGGGAGCAAACAGGAUUAGAUACCCUGGUUAUCCACCCCGUAAACGAUGUCCACUAAGA
RNAcentral lists this ribosomal RNA (788 nucleotides) under Pseudoalteromonas sp. STE(OUC). RNAcentral describes it as "bacterial SSU rRNA". It matches the Rfam family "Bacterial small subunit ribosomal RNA", at positions 38 to 821 of the family's 1533-position model. Lineage: Bacteria; Pseudomonadati; Pseudomonadota; Gammaproteobacteria; Alteromonadales; Pseudoalteromonadaceae. The record is from RNAcentral.